RNAcentral lists this ribosomal RNA (254 nucleotides) under uncultured bacterium. RNAcentral's name for it is "partial 16S ribosomal RNA". It matches the Rfam family "Bacterial small subunit ribosomal RNA", at positions 524 to 777 of the family's 1533-position model. The record is from RNAcentral.
UACGAAGGAGGCUAGCGUUGCUCGGAAUCACUGGGCGUAAAGGGUGCGUAGGCGGGUCUUUAAGUCAGGGGUGAAAUCCUGGAGCUCAACUCCAGAACUGCCUUUGAUACUGAGGAUCUUGAGUUCGGGAGAGGUGAGUGGAACUGCGAGUGUAGAGGUGAAAUUCGUAGAUAUUCGCAAGAACACCAGUGGCGAAGGCGGCUCACUGGCCCGAUACUGACGCUGAGGCACGAAAGCGUGGGGAGCAAACAGGG